GAUGAAGAACGCAUCGAAAUGCGAUAAGUAAUGUGAAUUGCAGAAUUCAGUGAAUCAUCGAAUCUUUGAACGCACAUUGCGCCCUUUGGUAUUCCAAAGGGCAUGCCUGUUCGAGCGUCAUUUGUACCCUCAAGCUUUGCUUGGUGUUGGGCGUCUUGUCUCUAGCUUUGCUGGAGACUCGCCUUAAAGUAAUUGGCAGCCGGCCUACUGGUUUCGGAGCGCAGCACAAGUCGCACUCUCUAUCAGCAAAGGUCUAGCAUCCAUUAAGCCUUUUUUUCAACUUUUGACCUCGGAUCAGGUAGGGAUACCCGCUGAACUUAAGCAUAUCAAUAAGCGGAGGA
This 341-nucleotide unclassified non-coding RNA is filed under the name soil metagenome. RNAcentral describes it as "partial contains 5.8S ribosomal RNA, internal transcribed spacer 2, and large subunit ribosomal RNA". The stretch from base 1 to 120 matches the Rfam family "5.8S ribosomal RNA", at positions 35 to 154 of the family's 154-position model. The record is from RNAcentral.